UACGUAGGGGGCAAGCGUUGUCCGGAUUUAUUGGGCGUAAAGAGCGUGUAGGCGGCCAUGUAGGUCCGUUGUGAAAACUCGAGGCUCAACCUCGAGACGCCGAUGGAAACCAUGUGGCUAGAGUCCGGAAGGGGAGACUGGAAUUCCUGGUGUAGCGGUGAAAUGCGCAGAUAUCAGGAGGAACACCGAUGGCGAAGGCAGGUCUCUGGGCCACUACUGACGCUGAGAAGCGAAAGCAUGGGGAGCGAACAGG
This 253-nucleotide ribosomal RNA is filed under the name uncultured bacterium. RNAcentral's name for it is "partial 16S ribosomal RNA". It matches the Rfam family "Bacterial small subunit ribosomal RNA", at positions 524 to 776 of the family's 1533-position model. The record is from RNAcentral.